RNAcentral lists this ribosomal RNA (424 nucleotides) under uncultured Glomeraceae. RNAcentral describes it as "SSU rRNA". It matches the Rfam family "Eukaryotic small subunit ribosomal RNA", at positions 459 to 886 of the family's 1831-position model. Lineage: Eukaryota; Fungi; Glomeromycota; Glomeromycetes; Glomerales; Glomeraceae. The record is from RNAcentral.
GGGAGGUAGGUGACAAUAAAUAACAAUACGGGGUUCUUUCGGAUCUCGUAAUUGGAAUGAGUACAAUUUAAAUCUCUUAACGAGGAACAAUUGGAGGGCAAGUCUGGUGCCAGCAGCCGCGGUAAUUCCAGCUCCAAUAGCGUAUAUUAAAGUUGUUGCAGUUAAAAAGCUCGUAGUUGAAUUUCGGGGUCAGCAGGUUGGUCGUGCCAAUGGUAUGAACUGGCCUUGCUGAUUCCUCCCUCUUGAUGAGCCGUAAUGCCAUUAAUUUGGUGUUGCGGGGAAUCAGGACUGUUACUUUGAAAAAAUUAGAGUGUUUAAAGCAGGCAAGCGCUUGAAUACAUUAGCAUGGAAUAAUGAAAUAGGACGUUUGAUCCUAUUUUGUUGGUUUCUAGGAUUGACGUAAUGAUUAAUAGGGAUAGUUGGG